UUGGUGUUGCAAGAGGUCAUGUUGGAAAAUUGAUUUCCUAUGUGAAGUCCUAGAGGUCUCUUUGACAUAGAUUAUUGGAACCAAAAUAAAACCAAGAGAAAUUUCUUUGCUGACGGACUUGCAAGACUGAUUUUAGGAUGGUUUUGUUUUGGUCAAACUGGGCCUGACAGACAUUUUUAUUUGCAUGGAGUUUUUACUAUCAAUGAUAAAGUAAGCAAUUUGGCAAUAACAAAAUACAAUUUUCUUUUUAGUAAAUUUAUUUCCUAUGACAUUUCAACAUUUAACUUGGGUCAAUGAUUACACAUACCAACAUAUGUAAAAUAUAUAUAUAUACAUGUAAAUGUAAAAUGAGCAAGUUUAGAAUCACCGGGAAAAGGUAGUUGUUUCUGAAUCAACUAGAAAAUCAACAUGGCACAUAUAAUUACUGUAUAGAACAACAAAAUAAUAUAUAAUCACCGGGUUAUCAACAGGAAAAUAUCAUUACAAAGAUAUAUUUUACAAUCAACAGAGAAAUACCAUUGCAAAGAGAUAUUUUACAAUUAACAAAGAAAUACCAUUGCAAAGAGAUGUUUAACAUUCAACAGAGAAUUACCAUUGCAAAGAUAUGUUUUACAAUCAGCAAGAAGAUUGCAUUGCAAAGAGAUAUUUUACCUGAAUAAUCAUGAAAUAAUAUUAGAAAAAUUUGUACCAGAAUCAACAAGUUAAUUACUAUAACUUAUCUAAAUCAUCCAGGAAAUAAGGAACCUCUGAAUGAUUGGGAUAACAUAACAUCAAAAACAUGUGUAUCUUAAGGGGGUAGACCUUGGUACAGGGAGAUAACUCUUUAAAUCAGUUAUGUGUUUUUAAAAGUCAAGUUUCCUCAAUGAAUUUUAAGCAUUUACCUGAAACAGAUUGAAAAUAAUCUAUGUAUCCAAGAAGCUUAGAACAUAUUUAUGAAAAUGGCUGACACAAACAUACUGAUGAUUUUAAGAGUUAUUUCCCUUAACCUAGGUCUACCUCCUUAACUAAUAGGGAAAUACAUGUUAUAUUGUGGGUUCAGUUAUUUUAGUGGGUACUAGUUUAGGUGGAUUGGGGAAAUCUUGCAAAUUCAAGGAUAUUAAAUUUCUUGGCAAAGUUUUCAUACAUUCCUUUAGAAAAUUUGUAAAAAUUGUGGUUUGCCUGUUACCCAUGAAAAUUAGUAUCCAACAAAUAUUAAUGAAUCCACAGUAUUCUAAUUUGUCCAAGAUUCAUCUCUGAGAAUUAAGGAAAUUAUAUUACAAAUACUAAGGGUUCAUAUAAUUUCAUGGUAACAAUUUUCAGGGAUAUAAGAAUAUUGUAAGAUUUUUUUUUUAAAUUUGUCAUACAGGAAAUUCAUCUUCCUUUAAACAUCAGAAUUGCUGGUUCCCUUUUACACUACAGAUAAUCAUGAAUCCACUGUGGAUAAAUCUAAAUCACUACAGAUAAUCAUGAAUCCACUGUGGAUAAAUCUAAAUCACUAUAGAUAACCAUGAAUCCACUGUGGAUAAAUCUAAAUCACUAUAGAUAAAUUCCCUACAGUUGUUUCUAUAUAUAUAUAUAUACAUAUGAAAAAUAUCUAUAAUAUAUCAAUCAACAACAUCUUAAGAGUUAAGAGUCACAAAUUAAACAAAAUCAUGAAAAACAUCUAACAUAUGUGAAGUUACAUAUGAGUAAUUACAUAUGAGUAAUAACAUAUGAGAAGUUACAUAUGAGUACCAGUAAUAAUUUUGACAAUAUAAUUAAUGGAGGUAAGCAGUAGUUGUAUAUUUUGAUUUGAGAACACAACUCUCAUGAAAAUACCACUACACAUAUUACAUUGUAAUCAAUAAGUCUCACAACCUUUUUCAGUCAAAAUACAUGUUCUACUUAAAAGCAAGCAUGAUAUACUCAACAAGUAAAUGCUUUUGUGCAAAGAAAAAGACGGGGAGCUUUCAUAGAAAUAAAAAAAAAAUGGGUUUCAGUUUCCAACAGAUUUCCAGCUCUUCAUUACAGUAAAAGUAACUACAAAUCCAAUAAUAAUCUGUAUGGGGAAAUUUUGAAGUAGAGAUCAGUUGGAUGAAAUUUACAGCAUUAAACAACUAUUUAUUUAUCACCCCAAAAAAUUUUUACCUCUGAUUGCACAAGAUAACAAAAAUGGUAAUAUUUAAUUUUUUUUAUUUUAAGUUGAAAUUAUUUGGCAAUUACUUUGUAUUUCAACCUAAAUAUGACACUUUUUCUAUACCACAAAACAGCACAUGCAAAAUAGUUGUCGCAAAGAAUUGUAACCUUUGAAAUUGUUGUUGCGCACUAAAACCCCCAUGGGCACUUUCAAAACUUGGCAGGUAUUUUUUAGCAUAAAUACAUAGUAACUAGUAACCCACUUUACACUAGAAUAAGCAAUAUAUUAUAAAUGCAUAAUUUUACUGCAAUAAAAUAAGAUAUGAUCAUCUAUGACGUAGGAAGAUGAAUGCCAGUAUCAUAUAAUAUAAUAUCAAGGGAUAUGCAUCACUAAAAUCUGUACAUAUUGUAAAGUCAUUAUGUGAUCAUGUCACCGAUAAACAAGAAAAUGUCAUCAAAAAUUCGAUCAUAAGUCAGCAAAAAAAAAUAAUAAUAAUAAGCAAUAUAACAGCAUACUUUAUAUAUUUUUGUAAUAUAUGAAUGGGCAAGCGAAAUGUGCGGUUGAUUCUUAUUUUAUUUUGUCAAGAGCUGUUAAAAAAAGCCAGGUGUUGAAACCAAAAUUGCACAGCUGGAACUGAGAUAGUCCCUAAUAAUUCUAAUGAGUAUUGUAUUUUAAUGUUGAAAAAGAUGGGAUCUACCUUCACAGAACAUAUUUUUAUUAAUGGAUGAAAAAUUCUGAUUUCGGGAUUUGAUUCAUGUUUUUUACUUUAUUACUUCUGACAGCUUGUUUGACUAACUAAAUGAUAUUAAUCCAAAUCAUUAGGGAAAAUGUUGGAAAUUCAAAGCAUGUGUUGAAAAAAGUGUACACUUCGAGGAACUCAAAACAACAACUCAUAAAUUGUUAGCUGCAAGUCCAAAUCUUUGUCACCAAAUGUUUUUUCAUUCAAUUGGCACAUAUAUUUCCUACAUUUUCUUAAGUUUUUUUUUUAAUGUAUGCACACAUGUUGAUUGCAUGAUUGUUAUUUGCUUUAGUUAACAUCCAGGACAAAGUUUUUCUUUAAUAUUCAUCAUUAUACAUGUAUAAUUUCCAUAACUUGCUAUAAAUAAAGACUUAACAGAUUUAAUCAAAACAUUUUACUAUUUAUCUGUUCAUGGACAAAUGCUAUCUAAACCUGUUAAUGAAAGGAAACACAUGUUAUACAUGCAUCAAGAAACUUUUUUAAAAGGAGAGUUUAAUUUUAAUUAUUAAAUUACAUGCAUGAGGCGAUAUUAAGUACUGUAAGGUCUAUAUAAACAUUAUACCAACAUGUUACAUUUCUGGAAAAAGUACUUUCUAAAAUAAAAGAUAAGUGUAAGUACCAAAACUGACUAUAAUCAUCUAAUGCCUCAAAUAAAAAUAACUAACCUUCAAAAUUUUAAUCAAAUGCCUUUCUACAGGUGUGGUCAUUUUUUAGACAGUUUUGAAACAACGAAUAGCUAGAUGUGUAUGGACAAAAUAAAUGUCUGGCCUGUUGUUAAAUUCAGUUGAUGAUGAUUCAAUGAAAACAGAUUUGGGACCCACUAUUUUUUUUUUUUAAUUCAGUGUAAAUUGGUAAGAAAAGAAAAUGACGUGGUUUGACUGCCAAUGAGAUAACUAUCCAUUAAAGUAAUUAUGCUGUUGAUUAUUUCUUGAGUUUCCUAUAUUUGCAGUUCUGGAUCUUACAUUUAAAGUUUAAUAAUCUUCAUAUGUGUCACAUAAAGAUUAUCUUUUAAGACUUUAUAACUUAAAAGGCUGUCCAAGUAAAUAUCAGGCAAAUCCCAUGAUAUGGGUGGCACAACAUAAUUUUUUUCCCAACUGAAUUUUUGGUUCCAAUGCAAUGUUCAUAUCAUACAAAGGAUAUAUAUGUCAAAGAUAUUUUUGAAUCGACAGUGGAUGACUCAGAAACACAACAAAAUUUUGUACAAAAUAAAAAGUUAUCUCCCCUUUUCAAUGAAUUUCAGUGCUUUCUAUGUAUUUUUUUUCUCUUUAUUUGUUGCAGUUAAUUAAAAAAAACAAAAUCUAACUUUGAGAAAGAAUGAAUUUGUGAUAUGAAACAGAUGAAAAAUUUUGAAAACAAAAUAUGUUAUGUGCCAUACACUGCCUGGUUUUUCCAUGGACACCCUCUUAAUCAUAUGUAUCCUUUAUGUCUAACAAAUGAACCAUUUAACAGUCUCACUGUGGGGUAAAAUAUACUUCAAUUACAUUCUAAUAACUAUGGUUUUCUUUCUAUACCUCAAUAUUUGUAAAAGCUGUCUUAUAAUCCAAAAUAUAAUUAUAGAUUAUCGUUGAUCAUAUCAACAAGAUUGAUUUUCUAGCUUCAGCGGGUACAGCGAACACAGGAAAAGCAAUCGAGUUGAGAUGACCAAUUAUAAUCUGUUUAUCUCUAUAUAACCUAUAAGACGUUGUCAAUUUCAUUAGCAACGCCACAUGCCUCCUUAGUUUCUAGCGAUAAUUUUUCAUCUCAAGCAAGUAGCAUGAUAUGAAGAAUUAUCACAGAAAAAGAUCAAAGGAAAACAUAACUUUCACAUUCACAUUACUUCAUUGAAUAAAACAGUCUUGUUCACCAUGAACAUAGAACAUAUAACAAUCGAUAAAAGCAUACUUCUAGGAGAGUAGCCUAAUACCCCUGGAUCAUAAACAAAGUAGGUUUUAUAUGCAAGAUUUUUUGUCAUAAAUGAAAUUACUAGGUUACAAAUUAAAUCUGGUGACCAGUAAAAAUUGAUCAAUAAAUUUCUGGUUAGCUUGAAAAAGUCAAUUCUAUCAUAACUUUAAAAAUAACUAAUUACAAAAACUCAAAAACAUUUUAAUGGGAAUCAACCCUGAUUUCAUAUUCACAAUAACAAAUAAAAAUAUAACUUUUCUAAUAUGGCACAAAUUAUUUCCAAAAAUAUAAAAUAAAGAAAUCUACAAUCAAUUGCACCCCACUUUAAAAUGCCCAUUGUAUACAAAACACGAGUUUUUCUUCUAACUAAAAUUGAGCAGACAUAAAUCAGUGUUGUAAAAUCACUUUUAUUCAUGACGUGUCAUUAAAAAAAGGUUUGUAUUCAUUCACUGAUUGACUUUCAAUUAAAAUCUCCCCUUUUAUUAUUUGGCAAUGUAUGGACUUUCAUUUACUUGAGUUAUCAAAAUACUCCUGCUCCUCUUAGAUGAGUAUGUCCAUGAAUAAAAGAUAUUUCACAAAACCUUUCACAAAUUUAUGAAAACUGGUAUCUACCUUUACUUGUACCUCCCUUGGUACCUUACAAACCAGUUCAUACCUGAGAGUAUUAUGAAGUUCUGAGUUUUCAAUAGAAUGAUAGGAAUUAAAAUUUGACUUUUGAAACAAGUUAAAAAUUUCUACUGGUUUGUACCAAAAUUAUGGUACUCAACUCCUUAGCUCAUCAAUGACAGGAAACCAGCAGUAUACACUUUUUAGUUAAGUUCAUACUGGAUCAUGGAGAACAUUCCAGUAAAAAUGAAUGCCAUCAAUGAAUUAAUAACUGGUUAUAACAGUACACAAUGAAUAAAUAACUGGUUAUAACAGUACACAAUGAAUAACUUAACUUAUGGUUUGCUCUGCAAGUCUAAUAAUUAGACACUCUAUAUUUAUUCUAUAUAAAGAAUAUUUUGAAAAAACAAAAACCUUAUAUCUGCCAAGGUCUAUCAAGAGAUAAUUACAGCUCAUACAAGUCCUAAGGGCCAGCUGAGGUCACAUGUAUGUCUGUGACGGCGCGGGACAUUUGCCCUUUUUCAUAGGAUAUUUGCACUUUUAUUUUUGGACGCUUGCGCUUCAAAUCAAAGAACAUAUGCACUUUUUAAAAAUGGACAUUAGUGCUUUUUACAAAGGACAUUUGCGCUUUUGUAAUAUUUGGUUUUUAUGACUAUCCUCCUCUUUUAUUCGGGCUUGGGACCCGGUUUGACCUGGCAGAGUUAAAAGUUUAAAAAUCAUUGCAUAGCACAUUUCUUAACACAUUGACAUAAUUUAAAAAGUUUACAUACAGCUAAAACUAGUAAAUGAAAACAUUCUAAAGACAUGAAAACACGUACAGUCAUCUCAGGUCAGUUAUCGUUUGAUACCUGAAGCCCAAGGACUGAAAAAAAAUAGCUCAUGCUAUCUGUUCUGUCUGGUAUUUCGCCCAUAUUUCAAAUAAAUAAUCAUGUUCCUUAAUUUUGAGGUGUCUGUUCAUCAAUAUAACAAAUCUUAAUGUAAUUCACAGACUGUUGUUAAUUGAUACUCUUCAAAAAGUAAAAAAAUAACAGAAUGAGUGAAUAGAACUGUUCAUUAAAGUGUGCAUGGAAGGAUUCUGCACCAUUUGUCGUAAUGAUGACAAAUAUAAGUUAAAUUCAUCUAUGUGAUAUUACUUCUCAUUAAAAUUACAGGUGGACAACUAUAGGUAAAAAGGGCAAAUGUCCGGUCAAUUUAAUACAGUUGAUUCAAAAUUUAAAGCGCAAAUGUCCAUAGUAUUUGAAGCACAAAUGUCCUAUCGUUUUACAGGUAAAAAAGCACAAACGUCAUGUGUCCGUCUGUGAUUAGAAAUUCAACAACAAUUAGUGAAAAUGCCUACCUAUAUAUCUGUAAACUGCAAAAGUUAAUAACCAGCAACAUGAAAAGCAGUACUUAUAUAAUGAUUCCCUGAAUAUUAUAACAUAUAUGGCACAUAAUAUGGCUACAUUUAAAUAAUGUAUAGUGUUCUGCUAUUAAAAUAGUAUAACACAUAUGGCACAAAAUAUGGCUACAUUACGUUAACGUAUGGUAUUUUCAGAGUUUGACCUGAGAAUUCAAGGCAAGGAGAGGUGCAAGUUUAUGAGUAUUGUGACAUUAAAAUACAUUUUGUUAUGAUUAAUCAUACCUGUCAACCUCUGAAAAAGGAAAAUGCAGGUCAAAAUUGAAGUUUAGUAUUUAUCUUUCUUAAGAAUGGUUUUAAUAGUUUUAUUCACACUGCUUUUCAAAAAUACAGUUCAUAAGCCUUAGCUAUAAUUACAAAUCAGUUAUGGCUAAAUGUUCUCCAUAAAACAGAAGGAAGAUAGAAGAAGUUAGUGUGUUUACUUCCAGUGCAAUAUCUGGCUCAAAGCUUUCAUAUUAACUAAAUUAAGCAGUUUAAAACAGUUUUUUUAUCAAGGUAACAAAGUUGAUAAAACUGAAUAUAUAUUUCACUACUAAAAACCAAAAUCCAUGAUGGGUGUUAUAAUACUUGAUAUGAUAGGAAAUUCAUGGAAGUGACCCACAAAUUAUGGGUCAGUUGACAGGUAUGAGUAAUAUGUUUAUGCUUAGUUAAAUGUAUUUAACUAUUUGGUUGAUUUCAGAAAAAUUAUUCAAAGAAAAUCGUUGAAACUUAAAUUCUCUGAAAAAACAUACAUUAUGUAUUUGUGGCCUACAAUAUCCUGUUUACAACUUGUCUGAAAAACAUCAAUAAACUAGAGGCUCUUAAGAGCCUGUGUCACUCACCUUGGUCUAUGUGCAUAUUAAACAAAGGACACAGAUGGAUUCAUGACAAAAUUGUGUUUUGGUGGUGGUGAUGUGUUUGAAAUUCUUACUUUACUGAAUGUUCUUUCGACUUACAAUUAUCUGUAUCUAUAAUGAACAGCAACCCAACAACCGGUUGUCCAAUUGAUCUGAAAAUUUCAGGGCAGAUAGAUAUUGACUUGAUAAACAAUUUAACCCCUGUCAUAUUUGCUCUAAAUGUUUUGGUUUCAGAGGUAUAAGCCAAAAUCUACAUUUUACCCCUAUGUUCUAUUUUUAGCCAUGGUGGCCAUCUUGGUUGGUUGGUUGGGUCACUGCACACAUUUUUUAAACUAGAUACCCCAAUGAUGAUUGUGGCCAAGUUUGGUUAAAUUUGGCCCUGUAGUUUCAGAGGAGAUUUUUGUAAAAGAUUAUAAAAAAUUUAUGAAAAAUUGGUAAAAAAUGACUAUAAAGGAUUGAAUAACUCCUUAACGGACAACUGACCACUUUGAUCAUGAUGACUUAUUUGUAGAUCUUACUUUGCUGAACAUUAUUGCUGUUUUCAGUUUAUCUCUAUCUAUAAUAGUAUUCAAGAUAAUAACCAAAAA
RNAcentral lists this long non-coding RNA (8140 nucleotides) under Mytilus galloprovincialis (Mediterranean mussel). The record is from RNAcentral. Lineage: Eukaryota; Metazoa; Mollusca; Bivalvia; Mytilida; Mytilidae.